CAAUCCGAUCCUUCAAAUUAAUCUUCCUCUAAUUCACUAACUGUUAAUAAAUUAUUCUAUCAUAAUUUUUGCAUAAGAUUAAUCAUCAAUUAUAUUGAUGAUUAUACCCUUCAACGAUUCAUAAUCAUUGAUCAGCCAUCUGAUCAGACAGGAAUCUCUAUUGUAUGUAACCCCAUAGGUUCGAAUACUAAGUUGGUAAUAUAGAAACUAAUUCCAAUACU
This 221-nucleotide long non-coding RNA is filed under the name Elaeis guineensis (African oil palm). RNAcentral's name for it is "long non-coding RNA (EGUI_LNC018072)". Lineage: Eukaryota; Viridiplantae; Streptophyta; Magnoliopsida; Arecales; Arecaceae. The record is from RNAcentral.